GAAAUGCGAUAAGUAAUGUGAAUUGCAGAAUUCAGUGAAUCAUCGAAUCUUUGAACGCACCUUGCGCUCCUUGGUAUUCCUUGGAGCAUGCCUGUUUGAGUAUCAUGAAAUCUUCAAAGUAAAUCUUUUGUUAACUCAAUUGGCUUCUACUUUGGUAUUGGAGGUCUUUGCAGCUUCACACCUGCUCCUCUUUGUUCAUUAGCUGGAUCUCAGUGUUAUGCUUGGUUCCACUCGGCGUGAUAAGUUAUCUAUCGCUGAGGACACUGUAAAAGGUGGCCAAGGUAAAUGCAGAUGAACCGCUUCUAAUAGUCCAUUGACUUGGACAAUACUUUUAUGAUCUGAUCUCAAAUCAGGUAGGACUACCCGCUGAACUGAAG
This 377-nucleotide unclassified non-coding RNA is filed under the name plant metagenome. RNAcentral's name for it is "partial contains 5.8S ribosomal RNA, internal transcribed spacer 2, and large subunit ribosomal RNA". The stretch from base 1 to 105 matches the Rfam family "5.8S ribosomal RNA", at positions 50 to 154 of the family's 154-position model. The record is from RNAcentral.